Molecule: long non-coding RNA, 419 nt
Filed under: Musa acuminata (dwarf banana)
Lineage: Eukaryota; Viridiplantae; Streptophyta; Magnoliopsida; Zingiberales; Musaceae
Description: long non-coding RNA (MACU_LNC004073)
Source: RNAcentral
UUCCCGGCCGGCGACCACCGCCGCCGCUGUUCCCCGGUCAGGAGACGACGCUGCCAGCGUCCAUCCCAGCCCUACUGUCGUCGCCCGCCUCCCCUUGCGUCGCAGCGCAGCCGCUCGACCUCUCCUCCUCGGCGAUCGUUGGUGACGCUGCUCCCAGCCGCGCCACCACCGCUGCCUCUCCACCGCCGCCCGCCUCCCUUUGGGUCGCAGCCGCAGCCGCCGAUUGUCGCCCUCCUCGCGGCGACCGAAACAGGGCAACUCACGGAUUGCCCUUGUUCCCAGGUGCGUCACCACCACUUUUCCCAGCCGCAUCGCCGCCGCUCGAUCACUCGGCCAGCGACCUCUUCUCCUUGCGUCCCCAUCUCGCUCGAGCGAGAAGGACCGCCGGCACCGCAGCCGUAGCCGCCGGUUGCCGCAGC